UACGGGGGUUGCAAGCGUUAUUCGGAAUCACUGGGCGUAAAGCGCGCGCAGGCGGCCGUUUAAGUCAGAUGUGAAAGCCCGGGGCCCAACCCCGGAAGUGCAUUUGAUACUAUUCGGCUUGAGUAUGGGAGAGGGAAGUGGAAUUCCUGGUGUAGAGGUGAAAUUCGUAGAUAUCAGGAGGAACACAGGUGGCGAAGGCGACUUCCUGGACCAAUACUGACGCUGAGGCGCGAAGGCGUGGGGAGCAAACAGG
This 253-nucleotide ribosomal RNA is filed under the name uncultured bacterium. Its description in RNAcentral is "partial 16S ribosomal RNA". It matches the Rfam family "Bacterial small subunit ribosomal RNA", at positions 524 to 776 of the family's 1533-position model. The record is from RNAcentral.